GAACUUUUGCAAUUCUCUCAAGUUUUUCACCAAAAACAUUGAACUUCAAUUUGCCAAUUCUUCAUCAUCCUUCAACGAAAUCUCAAGAUUCUUUUUGAUUUGGAUUGGUAUAAUCAUUCUCUCAUGCUGUUUUGAUGAUUUGGAGGGAGAGGAGUGUGAAAUCGCAGCUGCAUCUUCAAGCUUCUUCCAUGGUGAUUGUGGAUUUUGAACAAUAGGAGUGAAAUUGACCAAACCUGAGCAUCACACAUUGCUGCCACGAGCUUGUACUGCUGCUGUUUUGCCAAAUCAAGCGCAAAUUCCAUCGAAUCCAGCACUGUUAUAGCAGGUACUUUAGUUGCUCAGUUCCUUGUGAACUAUUGCUUUGCUUUGCUUAAGCAACUUGCAUUUGAGGAAUCAUUGCUCGCGCUCGUAGAGUCAUCCCUUUGCACUCAACCCGUCCUCACAGAUACUUCACCAGACGCAAUACUCCUAGACUCAUGGAACUUCCCA
Molecule: long non-coding RNA, 489 nt
Organism: Lathyrus oleraceus (garden pea)
Lineage: Eukaryota; Viridiplantae; Streptophyta; Magnoliopsida; Fabales; Fabaceae
Exons: 3
Source: RefSeq, a predicted model, not a curated record